AAGAUAGAGCCAACUGGAUUUGCUGAUGGAUUAGCUAUGGGGUAUGAAGGAAAAAGAACAGUCAGAGAUGACUUGGAGAGUUAAAUCAUCAUUUAUGAAUACGGGGAAUCCUAUAGGAACAUCAGUCUUUUUUUUUUUAAGUUUUAUUGUAGUUGAUUUACAAUGUUGUGAUAAUUUCUGCUGUAUAACAGAGCGAUUUAGCUCUACAUGUACACAUUCAUUCUUUCCCAGAUUCUUUACCCAUAUAGAUCAUCACAGAACAUUGGGCAGAGUUCCCUGUGCUACAUAGCAGGUCCCCACUGGAGGAGCAUCAGUCUUAGUGGGGAAGGUCAGGAGGUUGGCAUGGGGUGAUGUUGAGUGUGAAACAUCUAUUAAACAUCCAGGGGGAGAUGACCGCACCCAUGGCAUAUGGAAGUUCCCAGGCUAGGGGUCGAAUCAGACCUGCAGCUGCUGGCUUACACCACAGCCAUAGCAAUGCCAGACUGAACUGUGUCUGCGACCUAUACCACAGCUCACGGCAACGCGGGAUCCUUAACCCACUGAGGAAGGCCAGGGAUCAAACCCACAUCCUUGUGGAUACUAGUCGGGUUUGUUACUGCUGAGCUAUGACAACAACUCCCAGCAAGUGUUUAAAGAAAGAAGGGAUCCUCUCUGGGGAUAGCCGUCGUAUCUGCCUCAAAGGGUGGCUGCGAUGAACUUUUUAAAUGGAUGAGAGAAUUCAUUAAAGUGUCUGCUUCAGUACCUGGCUACUGGGUCAUUGAAGGUGGAAGUCAUUGGUGACCUAACAAGAGCAGUUUCAAAAGUCUGGUUGGAGUGGCUUCAAAUGAGGAUGAGAGGAAAGAAUUGGAGACAGCAGAUAGAAUCAACUCUUCUGAAUAUUCCUUUGACAUUGCAUUAGAGAAAUGGGGAGGUAAUUCAUGGGAAUGUGGGGUCAAGAGAAAGGGGUGUGUGUGUGUGUAUGUGUCUGUUUGUCUCUCUUUUUCUUUUAGGUUGGGAGAAAGUACAGUCUUUAUAUUGUUGAUGAGAAUAAUCCCGUAGCAGGGGAGAUUGAUGAUGAAGUUUAGAUUUAUGAUAAUGAGUUGCUUCAGUCAUCAAUAACAGGCUAACGGAAACAACUAGGUUGUCCUAUGUCCCUUAACCCUCUCCUUCAGAUUCUUUCAUUCAUUUAUUCAUUUAUCAAGUGUUUACUGAAGGCUCACAAGAUGCCCAAGAUCAAGCCAGAGGCUGAGUAAAGAAUGGUGAUUAAGGGGUGAAACAAACAGGAGCAAUCUCUACACCACUUUCUGGUGGAGAUAGGCUUUCUAAAAACACACAAAUAAAUAAAAACAGAUUUCAAUGGAUGCUUCAUAGAAAAAGUUGGAGUACUUUUGAGAGAGAGAGAAAGCCUUGGCAUCAUUUAGAUUGGGGGGCAUUAGAAGACUUCUUGGAUGGGAAAGAUGAUCAUGACCGAUAAGAAAUGCAUUGAAGCACAAGGAAGAGAGCUUGCAAAGGCCAGGAGCAGGGGAGAACUUGAUGCUUUGGGGGAUUGGAGAGGUGGCCUGAGACCAGGUCAUGCAAAACUUUGGUUUUAAAGUUUUGGUUUAUAUCCUUAUAGUAAUGGGAAGCUGUGGAAAAGUUUUUAGGUGGAAGUGACAGGAUGUAUUUGCAUUGGAAAAAAAAAAUCUACCUGUAUUACAUUGUGUGAUGGUGAAUGGAUUGGAGGGGGCAAAAGUGGAAGAAAAGAACACAAAUUUAGGCACAAAGAUAGCAUCUGUUGGACUUCCUAUUGUGGCUCAGUGGGUUAAGAACCUGCCAUAGUGUCCAUUAAGAUGUGGGUUUGAUUCCUGACCUUGCUCAGUGGAUUAAGGAUCCAGCAUUGCUGCAGGCUGUGGCAUUGUUUGCAGAUACGGCUUGGAUCCCGCAUCGCCUUGCUGUGGUGUAGGCUGGCAGCUGCAGCUCUGAAUCGACCCCUAGCCUGGGGGCUUCCAUAUGC
This 1972-nucleotide long non-coding RNA is filed under the name Sus scrofa (pig). Its description in RNAcentral is "lncRNA (ENSSSCG00000059271.1)". The record is from RNAcentral. Lineage: Eukaryota; Metazoa; Chordata; Mammalia; Artiodactyla; Suidae.